RNAcentral lists this ribosomal RNA (741 nucleotides) under Armadillidium vulgare (common pillbug). RNAcentral's name for it is "bacterial SSU rRNA". It matches the Rfam family "Eukaryotic small subunit ribosomal RNA", at positions 1032 to 1456 of the family's 1831-position model. Lineage: Eukaryota; Metazoa; Arthropoda; Malacostraca; Isopoda; Armadillidiidae. The record is from RNAcentral.
AUAAACGAUGCCAACUAGCGAUCCGUCGGCGUCAUUCCCACGACUCGACGGGGAGCCCCAGGGAAACCAAAGUCUUUGGGUUCCGGGGGAAGUAUGGUUGCAAAGCUGAAACUUAAAGGAAUUGACGGAAGGGCACCACCAGGAGUGGAGCCUGCGGCUUAAUUUGACUCAACACGGGGAACCUCACCAGGCCCAGACACUGGAAGGAUUGACAGAUUGAGAGCUCUUUCUCGAUUCGGUGGUUGGUGGUGCAUGGCCGUUCUUAGUUGGUGGAGCGAUCUGUCUGGUUGAUUCCGAUAACGAACGAGACUCUAUCCUGCUAACUAGUCGGCGGAUCGACUCCCAAGACGGGUUUCCAUCCGCGGGGUUUUCGGGCGGGGGUCGCUUCGACCCGUCGUCGUUCCUUCGCGGUCGCGUCGUUGUCGUCGCUGUCGUCGCUGCGGGGGGCGUGGCGCGCGGUUCGCGUUCGCGGCGGUAGGUCUUCGACGUCGGCGGCUCUCCAUCAUCGCUCGUCGGUGGUGGGGCGGUUUUCGUCGUCGUUCGUCGUCUCCGUCGCGACGCUCCGUCGCUAUUCCUUCGCACGGCGCGCGCGCUCGCGGCGCGGUUUAGCUUGGGGCCUGCGCGGCGGCGGUGUUCGGGGUCCUCGUCUUGCCUCGCGCGUUGGGGCUCUGCGAGGGGCGUCCGUCGCAAUAUCUUCUUAGAGGGAUCGGCGGCGUCCAGCCGCAAGAGAGAGAGCAAUAA